RNAcentral lists this ribosomal RNA (459 nucleotides) under uncultured bacterium. RNAcentral's name for it is "partial 16S ribosomal RNA". It matches the Rfam family "Bacterial small subunit ribosomal RNA", at positions 338 to 795 of the family's 1533-position model. The record is from RNAcentral.
CCUACGGGGGGCAGCAGUGAGGAAUAUUGGUCAAUGGCCGGAAGGCUGAACCAGCCAAGCCGCGUGAAGGACGAAGGUGCCAAGCAUUGUAAACUUCUUUUGUCAAGGGACAAAAUCAGGCUCGAGAGCCUGACCGAGGGUACUUGAAGAAAAAGCAUCGGCUAACUCCGUGCCAGCAGCCGCGGUAAUACGGAGAAUGCGAGCGUUAUCCGGUUUUUUUGGGUUUAAAGGGUGCGUAGGCGGACUGUUAAGUCAGCGGUAAAAGCCCGGGGCUCAAACCCGGCGAGCCGUUGAACCUGGCUGUGUUGAGAUGUCGAGAGGUAUGCGGAAUGCGCAGUGUAGCGGUGAAAUGCUUAGAUAUUGCGCAGAACUCCGAUUGCGAAGGCAGCAUACCGGCGGCGAUCUGACGCUGAGGCACGAAAGCGUGGGUAUCGAACAGGAUUAGAUAUCCUUGUAGUC